GGGGUUUACCAUUUCAGAAAUGGAGAUAGAUAUGCUGGUGAAUAUUUUGGAGAUAAAAUCCACGGCUUUGGUGUAUAUCAUUUUGCCAAUGGCCACUGCUAUGAAGGGUCAUGGCAUGAAGGCCGGAAGCAAGGUUAUGGCAUGUAUACUUUCAGAAAUGGCGAUGCAAAAUGUGGUGAAUGGGAUGGUGGUGUCCUUAAGAGCCCUGUGCCUCUACUAACUGAUUCUGUCCUUAGA
Molecule: unclassified non-coding RNA, 237 nt
Filed under: Hevea brasiliensis (rubber tree)
Lineage: Eukaryota; Viridiplantae; Streptophyta; Magnoliopsida; Malpighiales; Euphorbiaceae
Source: RNAcentral